Molecule: long non-coding RNA, 1893 nt
Organism: Ipomoea triloba (trilobed morning glory)
Lineage: Eukaryota; Viridiplantae; Streptophyta; Magnoliopsida; Solanales; Convolvulaceae
Exons: 3
Source: RefSeq, a predicted model, not a curated record
CUAUUGUUGAAGAAGCCCUGACUUCCUAACACACCCUGACUUCACAAUCAAACCUAACUUCCCCUUUAAUGCCCCUCCGGCCUCAAAGCCCCCCGUAAAGCAGCCGGCGGAGACCCUGUGAGCAGAAGGAUCAGUUGAAGCAGCAGCGUCGUUAGCGACGAAAGCUCCACCGCCGUCCUCGUUUUUUACGACACUGAGCAGGAGAAGAUGAGGAGAUCUGGAGGAGGAGGGCAUGGCAGAGAUUAGAGAAAGAAGGCAAAUUAAUGGAAGGGAUUUGCGGAAGGAAGAGAGAAUGGGAAGGGAAGAGGGGAAAUGGGUUUGAAGGAGUGCGGGAGAAGAAGGCAGAGAGAGGCGAGCAUACAGAAACGGUGAUGAAAGGAGACAACUUUGUGAAUGGGUCUCAUUAUCUUCAUCAUGUCAUAACAAUCACAGUCCAAUUCAUUAACAAUUUCCUUUUCCUCUCCAGUGCACAGCACUACAACCAAUAGUGAAUUACUUUCUGUUUUUUACUGUAUUUUUCUUAUCUUUUUUAUAUAUAUUCUUGCCUUUGGAGAUUCCUUUUGAUGAUUUGUUGUACGCCAACACGUAUGGACCAUGUCUAUCUGAGUAUUGGGUAUUGGAUUGGAGUAUCUUCCCUAGCUACCUCUGUUAGUGUUAGGAUGUUGCCAUUUGUCUGUCUAAGUUCAACUCCGCUCCUCUUUCACCUCUUUGUCUAUCUGAGAAUCGACGGGACAGAUUUGAGCAGGAUCCCGAACCCCGGCGUAUCAAGACGGCGGAGAGCAUCAGCCGCUGCGAUAGCUUCACUGGAGAAUGGGUUCCCAACCCAGAGGCGGUGGAAGCCCGAUGGGUGCGAGCUGCCGAAAACUUGCCCCUGGUCUCUGGUGUUAUACGAAGAGGAGGAAGUAUUGAAGAGAGGAAAAGACUACUUUACCCUUGCUAAUUGGAGUGUUCGCCGGAAACUGGCCGGAUGGAGUUAUGUGACAAAAACAAUUAUUUUCUGGGACUAAAUCGAUGAAUACGGAGUUAAGGAGCAACAUUGACAGUUUGAUAACAACUGAGGGACCAAAUAGGUGAUUUACCUUUUUUUUUUUAAAUAUAAAAACUCAAUCUGUGGAGAGACGCAGGAGAAGAUCGGACGCCAUUGCAAUAACGUUUGUAUCAUCACUGCUUCUGUCGUCAUUGUGGAGAGACGCAGUAGAGAAAACUCAGACGCCAUCGUCAUUGCCAUCUCCACUGCUUCCUCACUCUCCACGCCAUCGCCAUCGCCACAAGAAGACAGACAAAACCACUCCAUUGCUUGUUCUUGAAGAAAGUGAAGGUCACUUGGUGGAUGAGGCUAAAUUUAUUAACCUGUCACUUACUUCUUUGGGAAAAUGUAUAAAUGCAGUGGCUAAAAAUAGUCUGCAUAUACCUAUAAGAGAUUCUAAGUUAACAAGACUGCUACGUGAUUCAUUUGGAGGGCAUGGUAUUUGUUGGUUGUGAUGUAAGGUGUACAUUUUUCAAGCAGAUUGAACUAUUGAAGGAAAUUGCGGGGUGCACAAAAAUAAAUUUGAAAUUAAAAUAUAAAUUACUUGAGAGUUUUUUUUUUUUUUUUUUGCCUAGACACAAUUGCCAGUAAUUAGGCACCAUAAAUGCAGGGUGGGGUGGGGGAAUUGCCCCCUCCAUUCACAUUAUACAUUUAUACCUCUUUAUUCUAGGUGUAUAUGUCUGCAACUUGUUUGUAGGAGUUAUCAGUCCUAUAGCAGUAAAGCAUGAGUCCAGUGAGGUCUAACUUACUCUAUUUCAUCAUUUCUGUGUAAUUUCUGAUUUGAGACUUGUGCUUCUGAUUGAGGUACAUUGUUUAUAUGCAGUAGGUACAUUAUUUUAAUUCAUAGGGUACAUUAUUUUUAUGUA